AUCCAGCUGAUGAGUCCUAAAUAGGACGAAACGAGCUUCCUGUAU
This 45-nucleotide non-coding RNA is filed under the name Schistosoma margrebowiei. The record is from RNAcentral. Lineage: Eukaryota; Metazoa; Platyhelminthes; Trematoda; Strigeidida; Schistosomatidae.